CUGGAAAAGUUUCAAACAAAACAAUAUAACCAAUUCAAUUUGUGAAGCAGAAUGCAUUGCAGCAUCCGAUGUUUGUAAGGAAGCUAUGUGAUUGUAAAGGUUAAUUAGCAAGCUGAGAGUGGAAUCCUCCAAUGAUGGUCCUACAGUAUUGUACUAUGCCAGAGCCAUAGCUCAUGCCAAGGAGCCGAAGUCCCAUUAGCU
RNAcentral lists this long non-coding RNA (201 nucleotides) under Elaeis guineensis (African oil palm). Its description in RNAcentral is "long non-coding RNA (EGUI_LNC066266)". Lineage: Eukaryota; Viridiplantae; Streptophyta; Magnoliopsida; Arecales; Arecaceae. The record is from RNAcentral.